AAUGAACGCUGGCGGCAGGCCUAACACAUGCAAGUCGAGGGGUAGCAGGAUUAAGCUUGCUUAAUUGCUGACGACCGGCGCACGGGUGCGCAACGCGUAUGCAACCUACCUUAUACUGGGGUAUAGCCCGGAGAAAUUCGGAUUAAUCCCCCAUAGUACUAAUGAAUCGCAUGGUUUAUUAGUUAAAGCAUUGCGGUAUAAGAUGGGCAUGCGUCCUAUUAGCUAGAUGGUGAGGUAACGGCUCACCAUGGCUACGAUAGGUAGGGGGCCUGAGAGGGUGGUCCCCCACACUGGUACUGAGACACGGACCAGACUCCUACGGGAGGCAGCAGUGAGGAAUAUUGGUCAAUGGGCGCAAGCCUGAACCAGCCAUGUCGCGUGCAGGAAGAAUGCCCUAUGGGUUGUAAACUGCUUUUAUUUGGGAAUAAACCUCUUUACGUGUAGAGAGCUGAAGGUACCAAAUGAAUAAGCACCGGCUAACUCCGUGCCAGCCGCCGCAGUAA
RNAcentral lists this ribosomal RNA (503 nucleotides) under uncultured bacterium. Its description in RNAcentral is "partial 16S ribosomal RNA". It matches the Rfam family "Bacterial small subunit ribosomal RNA", at positions 29 to 523 of the family's 1533-position model. The record is from RNAcentral.